AGUGAACGCUGGCGGUAGGCCUAACACAUGCAAGUCGAACGGCAGCACAGUAAGAGCUUGCUCUUACGGGUGGCGAGUGGCGGACGGGUGAGGAAUACAUCGGAAUCUACUUUUUCGUGGGGGAUAACGUAGGGAAACUUACGCUAAUACCGCAUACGACCUACGGGUGAAAGCAGGGGAUCUUCGGACCUUGCGCGAUUGAAUGGGCCGAUGUCGGAUUAGCUAGUUGGCGGGGUAAAGGCCCACCAAGGCGACGAUCCGUAGCUGGUCUGAGAGGAUGAUCAGCCACACUGGAACUGAGACACGGUCCAGACUCCUACGGGAGGCAGCAGUGGGGAAUAUUGGACAAUGGGCGCAAGCCUGAUCCAGCCAUACCGCGUGGGUGAAGAAGGCCUUCGGGUUGUAAAGCCCUUUUGUUGGGAAAGAAAAGCAGCAGGUUAAUACCCCGCUGUUCUGACGGUACCCAAAGAAUAAGCACCGGCUAACUUCGUGC
This 493-nucleotide ribosomal RNA is filed under the name uncultured bacterium. RNAcentral's name for it is "partial 16S ribosomal RNA". It matches the Rfam family "Bacterial small subunit ribosomal RNA", at positions 29 to 508 of the family's 1533-position model. The record is from RNAcentral.